GGUGGCGGCGGCUGCAGGGGAGCUGAGGAAGACUGAGGGGGGAAAUCCACCCGGAAGUAUCCCUCGGCUAGGGGGUCAGCCUUACAUGUUGCUGUUAACCAGCUUGUUAGCCUUCUCACGGAUGUGACUGGCAACCACUAUCUCUCAAGGUCCUUCUUACUAUCAGAAGCAAGCUAACAUCACAUGAGCUUCCUCUACAUUUUUCUUACCGAAGUUGUCUACAGGGUGAACGGGGAGCUCAGAUCAACAGGAAGCAGUGACUGACGUCAAGGAGGUCACAGUGGAAAAGCACCCUGUGAGGAAAUCUGAUUGCACCACGACUCAACUGCAAACCACUUGAAUGUAACCACAUUAAGAAUGCUUACAAAGGCUUCAGGAAGAAACAAUGAGAGAGUGUGGAUAAUGGCUUCAUUUUUUAAAAGCUUAUUAUUCUGCACAGCCCAGAAGAUGUCAGAAGUUAAUUCGGUCACCUAGCAACCCCUCUGUGAGGCCCUGGGGCAAGACGCAUCCUGUCUGAGUACAGAGACCUGUCUUGGGAAGGAUGAAAAUUCACCAGAUUACAAAACUAUGUGACCCACUGGUGAGGGUCAAGUUGGUGAGCAUAACGUUCGGAGCAAUGUGGAUGGAGCUUUCUGCUACAGCUCUCUCCUGAAGCGCAGGAGGAGGAGAAAUCAAGUGGAUGAGCAGCCCUAGGGAUGCUGCAGACUUCCAGAAGAGGAACUCACAUUCCCUCCAGGUCAGCUCUGCUUCAUCUGCUCCCACUUUUUCCGGGUUAUGUACAACACGAUCCUUUAUCAGCACCGGUAAACAGACAUCGUGCAGAUGGGCUAGGCUUGCGCAGGCCUGGUUGGUUCCCCCUGCGUCCCAGGAGGCUGUGGCUCUGUGCUCCCCCGGGAAUAGGGAGAGAGAAGAGUGGGAACAUGGCCAGGGCUGCUUCCCAUGGUCCACUGCACAGAAGCGGAAAAACACAUGUGGGGUAGGGGGUAGGGUGGUCUGGCCAGAAGGGCUUUCCUCUUUUGUUUUGAUGGGGAAUUAAAUAUCCCAUCAGUUUAAUGUCUAAAAUGGUACACAUGACGAGCGUGAAAUGAGCCAGAGGUGGGCAGGAGUGGGCUCCUCUGCUGGAUGAACAGAGUGGACUCCGGAAGCCUCCCACAGAGAGGAAACAGGAGCUCCGUGGGCAGCCCAGGAAGGAAGAAAGGGUAUCCUGCAGCCCUCCGGCAGAAAGAGGCAGGUCUGCUGGCAGGCGAGACAGGGCAGAAGGCAGGAAAGGGAACCUUGCAAAAGAAGAGAGAGUUGGGCUUGAUGGCACAAGGAUUAGCAGUGGGGUGGCAAGAGAGGUGGACAGGGCAUCCUCGCAGCCUGGAGCAGGGCCCGGAGUGAGCAGACCAGUCUACCCAGCACGGAGGGAAAGAUCGUGCAAGUAGCAGCCGUGGUGAGCAAGGGAGCAACUGGGGCACUACUCUUCCUGUUACGCCCCCUGCUGGAGCAACAGGAACCCAGGCGCAACCGGAUAUAGUGCCAAAGGCUUCAGCUGCCCCCAGCACACCACCGUAACUCAAACUCACUGAUCCUUCACAAACGUAAGAGUGCCCCUGAUUUGCAUCUGCAGCUUUAAGUCCCUGGGCUUCCUUCCAAGCAGAAAACUGCUCUGAAUGCAUCCUAAAUGGAAAUCCAGCAACUAUCCUGAGGAUCAGUUCCACAGAGGGUCACUGCCUAAGUCCACCUGGAGCGGUCUGCUCAGCAGCUUCAGCCCCAUAAAAGGUCCCAAGAAAGGGCCAACUACUCAGGGGCAGAGACUCCUCUGCCUGUUCACUGCUGUGUCCUGAGGUUUGAAGUUUGGUUGCACCAUGCGGGCCUCCAUGCCGGGCAUGGAAUGAGUGAAUGUUUUCUUGCCCCUGCGGCAAGCAAACCUGCAGAAGCAAUUGUCUACACCUCCAUGCGGAUGGGCUGCUUGUGCCUACCAGCGCUCCUGAAUAGUUCUGCAGCCUGGAAGAGAAGGACACAACCAGGUUCCUGGCACUGAGGAAGCAAUCAGGGAGAGCUCAGAUAUUUCCCCAUGAGCAAAUGUUCCAGCCUCUGCUUUCUAUCCCAGUGGGCAGGUUUCCACACUGCUGGAUCCUGUCUUCAGGGUCGGGUGGGCUCAGCCAACCACUCACAGGCAUAGCUCCAGGUCCUGCAAGACACCCAGUGAGUUCAGGCAGGGGACCCCCAGCUGCCCAGGAAAACGCGUGCAGGUGGGGCUGAGGCACUGCUGAAGCAGACAGUGGUUUUGGUCUCAUGGCCAUGCUGGUUGUGCUUUGUGUAAAGGCUGGCAGCCACACAGCGAGUGCUGCCCCAGGAUCCAGUGUUCAUUCCCAAGUCCUCCUCCUGUGAUGCAACGCCUGCGCUUACUAUGUGGGAUCCACAGCACGCUGCUACUGCCUGGGUCUUGGUCUUCUGCUCCCUCCCAGGCCGAGGGAGAACAGAACCAUCUCCUUUCCCUGGCGCUCGGUGCACUCCUGUGUCGAGUGGCUUUUCACUCAACUUUGUGACAGAGAGCGCACCUCCUCCUCACCCUGAGGGCCUCAUACUUGCUGUCUCCACACAGCGUGCUGCAGAGCACAGAGCAUCCCUAACUCGGGGGUUCAAAGCACAGAGCAUCCCUAACUCGGGGGUUCAAAGGUUCUAAACUAUGAGCAGGAAAGACCAUAACCAACCGCUCACCAACCCCAAGAGCUUCCAGUCACAGCACAUCCGGGCCAAGUCUGGCCCCGGGAGAGUGUCAACUAUGUCAAAGGUACACACCAACUCCACAAACCGUCCUACCCAAUGUGGAAGUGGAGGGUCAGAUGACAAAGGCUGGCAACAAAGCCUGUUACAACUGGACAACCUCACAACCAGCUCUUUGAGACUCUCGGGUCACACUGGACACUUUGGCAGUCCCAGCCAAAGAGAUGGAGCCAAAGGAACAAUCUGAACUUUGAGUUUUCUUUUUCCUCAUUCAUUUGUGUGGCCCCAAUUAGCAACAGAAAUCCCAGGCCUGAUAGUCAGAGAGGACAGAGCAAAGGUCCCAGCUCUCUAAUCGCCAGCCUGGAGAUGGGCCCCAGGGGGUCUUCAGCUAAAAAGAAGGCGGGUCAAAUAUUUGCUUGCCGUCAGAGAUCUGGUCUGACAGUGGGUAUCUACCCACAGUUAGUGACCGAACAGGAAGAUGGAACACUGCUAAUAAGCCGAGAACAUGCAGAGACAGGAAGCACUAUGUUCCGGCACAUUUUCUAUUUUGAUCUGAGCCAAAGGCAAACUACAACAAAUGACCCGUAAGCAGACUCAAUCACAUUUGCAGCGGUUCCACUGCUGAGGGGAAAUGUCCUUGGGUGCUUCACGAAAGGCCAAAACCACAGAUUGUGAAAAACUGUCUUUAUUCCUGACUAAUGACACUAACCUUCUCAGCUCUACAUAUUGCAAAAACUAGAAAUGUCUUGGUUGUGGCAUACAGAAGAGGCACGUAAAAAUUAAGCUGGACAACCUGGGCAAGGAUCCACAUAUGAGCUCUUGUUUGCUGUGUGUUAGCCUCUCCAGACCACUGCUUCCAGACCUUUACAAUCAGGCUGAAAGUGUCUACGUCCUCCCGGACCACUUUAGGUAUGAAACGAGAUAUUUCAUUCAACAGAACUGUAUGAAACACCAGCAUGCAGUUUUGCAGAUAACAGUAGGAGCAGGCACACCUGGAUGUGCAGCAGGGUCUCAGCGAUCUCCUCUCCUUCACCCACUCCUUCUGCAAAGCUGGCCCUACUCACGCCCCAGGGAUGAACCAGCUCUGCUGCAUGGACCUGUCUCCAGAGGGAUCUCCUUUCCAGUCACUGGGCCAGACUUGCCUUCUCGGCUCCUCACCCACACUCACAGGGCCUCUUCCCUGGCCUGGGAUGGCACAAAGACUCAGAGCACCGGGAAGCCCUGCCACUGCAGGGCCAGGUGUGCCCUGCACCCACAGCUCCUGGCAGUGACUCGGGACACAGCAGGCCUGGGUGUGCUGCUCAGUGUUCUGUAACCAGGGGAAGAGAGAAGCCAGCAGGGGCUGUGGGGAGGGGAGGCUGGGCCACGCAGGGCCCUGGGGGACAGCACGCUGCCUCCACGCACUGUGGUGGGCCUCAGGGCCCUUCUGGAGGCCUCUCUGCCACCAUGGGGGAAGGACACAGGUUUGGGUAGAGGAGCUGGAAAAAAUAAAAGGCAAGGGUACUUCCUAAAGACAAGUGGGCUAUUGGGUAAGCCAGAGUUAGAACCCAGAGCUCUUAUUUUGAAGGUUACAGUGGUGUCACCCCCGAAAAAUGCUGAACGACUAAUUCCAGGGGCACAGGAUGCUUGCAUUGGUUGUCUCUCCUCUUCUCUCCUCCCCCCAACCACACACACACACACACACACACACACACACUUUUGCAAAUAUUUAGGAGAAUGGAGAAAAUAAUACGGAGAAAGGAACAUUCCCUUGUAUUCACGUUGCAGGUGGUUUUCCCACAUACGUGAAGUCUUCCAAAAUCACACACACGGUACACACCAGCACACACACUGAUGCCAUUUAGUUCACAAGACUCCUGCGGCCCCCAAACUCCAGAACGAGGCUUUCAGUUUUGUUGGUCCACAUGUGAGAAGGGAGAGCUCUGGCCCCGCCCGGGGUUCCACUCUCACAGGCUGAGCCCCAGGUCCCCAAUCAGCAGCCCUGGGGUCCUGAGGAAGGAGCCGGCAGGAUGGGUCCAGGAGAGGUAAGAGCAAGAGCCGUGGCUCCAUCCUGUGCAGGGAGUGUCCAUGUUCUGAAGCCCACCUCGCUGCAGCAGAGGCCGCUCAAGCACAGGCAACUCCUCAGGGAUGAGAUGAGUGCCACCUGGCUCAGCCUGGCCUUACGCCGGGUCUGGGCCUGUUAGAAAGAGGCAGUGAGCGCCUAUGCUCUGUGUUCACAGCGGCUCAUGUUUCUCAACCUUUGCUCCCAUAAACUGGGUCUCUGAACAAAGGCUAAACCAUCUGGCCAAUAUUUACCUUGCCACAUCCCCUUCCUACGGCUUCCGGGUCUUUAUUCCCUCUUUCUUUCUCCCUCCCUCUUUCUGUGUCUGUCCUGACCUCCUCCCUCCCCAGCACUCAGCUGAGACUCCAGAGGAGAACCAAGGGGAGAGCCCCCCACAAGUGGUCAGAGACCCAGAUUCCAGGCCCCAGAUGCCAGGAGGCUCAGUGCUGGCGGUCACUGAUGAAGACAGAGAGUGAAAGCAAAUUCAGUUUGCAAAGAGCAGAGCAGGCGGCAUCUAUAAAACCUGCAUCCGGCGUGCUGAGAACCCAAGUGCCCUCCCUGGCUUAAUCAUGGCUUAUUCGUCCCAUCCCCUUGUUAAGGAAACAGAAUCCAACUACCAAAUUUGAUAAACAGAAAAGAGAAAAAAAUCACCCGUAAUUCCACUAACCAAAUACACCCUCCCUCCCUCUUUUCUCUCCAUCCAUUUUAGCAUUAGGGAUCAAACCCAGGACCUUGCACAUGUUAGCCAUGCUACCCUAGAUUAUACCCCCACCUCAGUAUACUAUUUAAGUACAGUAUAUUGCUGUUGCUGAAUGGUGAAUUUGCUUCUAACAUUUUCCUCUUAUAAAUCAUGCACUCACACCAAACAUCCUUGACAAAAAGAACAAUGCCAGGGGUGUCACACAACCUGGUUUCAAAACCAACUACAAAGCUGUAAUUAUCAAAACUGCAUAACACUGGCAUAAAAACAGACACAGAGACCAAUGGAACAGAACACAGGGUGCAGAAAUAAGUUCACAUAAUUAUGGCCAACUGAUUUUCAACAAAAUAGUAAAGUCAUACAAGGGGAAAGGGCAGGCUCUUCAGUUACUGGCGUUUCUGCAUGGAGAAUGAAACUACAUCCUUAUCUUGCACCAGACACAAAAUCAACCUGACAUGGAUAAGAAAUUUCAAUGUAAGACUUGCAACUGUAAAUCUACUAAAAGAAAACGUACAAGAAAAGCUCUAUAAUAUUGGCAUCAGCUUUUUGAAUGUGACUCUGAAAGCUCAGGCAACAAAAGCAAAGGAAGAUAAAUGAGAAUAUGUCAAAGUGAAAGCUUGUGCAUAGCAAAGAAACACAGUAAAGGAAAAAAAAAA
Molecule: long non-coding RNA, 6106 nt
Organism: Chinchilla lanigera (long-tailed chinchilla)
Lineage: Eukaryota; Metazoa; Chordata; Mammalia; Rodentia; Chinchillidae
Exons: 4
Source: RefSeq, a predicted model, not a curated record